Molecule: ribosomal RNA, 524 nt
Filed under: Papilio polytes (common Mormon)
Lineage: Eukaryota; Metazoa; Arthropoda; Insecta; Lepidoptera; Papilionidae
Description: partial 16S ribosomal RNA
Rfam family: Bacterial large subunit ribosomal RNA (bases 396-524)
Source: RNAcentral
AAAAACAUGUCUUUUUGAAAAUAAUUUAAAGUCUAAUCUGCCCACUGAUAAUUUAUUAAAGGGCUGCAGUAUUUUGACUGUACAAAGGUAGCAUAAUCAAUAGUCUCUUAAUUAGUGACUUGUAUGAAAGAUUGGAUGAAAUAUAUUCUGUCUCUAAUUAAUUUAUAGAAAUUAAUUUUUUAGUAAAAAAGCUAAAAUAAUUUUAAAAGACGAGAAGACCCUAUAGAGUUUAAUAAUUUAUUUAAUUAUUAUUAAUAUAUAAUUUUUAAAAUUAAAAUUAAAUAAAUUAUUUUGUUGGGGUGAUAGAAAAAUUAAAUUAACUUUUUUUAUUUAUUAACAUUAAUUUAUGAUUAGAUGAUCCAUUAAUAAUGAUUAAAAGAAAAAAUUACCUUAGGGAUAACAGCGUAAUUUUUUUUUUUAGUUCAAAUAGGAAAAAAAGUUUGCGACCUCGAUGUUGGAUUAAGAUAAAAUUUAAAUGCAAAAGUUUAAAAUUUUGAUCUGUUCGAUCAUUAAAAUCUUACAUG